RNAcentral lists this ribosomal RNA (446 nucleotides) under uncultured bacterium. Its description in RNAcentral is "SSU rRNA". It matches the Rfam family "Bacterial small subunit ribosomal RNA", at positions 26 to 518 of the family's 1533-position model. The record is from RNAcentral.
AGAGCGAACGCUGGCGGCAGGCCUAACACAUGCAAGUCGAGCGCCCGUAGCAAUACGGGAGCGGCAGACGGGAUAGUAACACGUGGGAACGCGCCCUUCGGUUCGGAAUAACUCAGGGAAACUUGAGCUAAUACCGGAUACGCCCUUACGGGGAAAGAUUUAUUGCCGAAGGAACGGCCCGCGUCCGAUUAGCUAGUUGGUGAGGUAAUGGCUCACCAAGGCGACGAUCGGUAGCUGGUCUGAGAGGAUGACCAGCAUCACUGGGACUGAGACACGGCCCAGACUCCUACGGGAGGCAGCAGUGGGGAAUAUUGGACAAUGGGCGCAAGCCUGAUCCAGCCAUGCCGCGUGGAUGAUGAAGGCCUUAGGGUUGUAAAGUCCGUUUUAACGGGAGAUAAUGACGGUACCCGUAGAAUAAGCCCGGCUAACUUCGUGCCAGCAGCCGC